Molecule: ribosomal RNA, 383 nt
Filed under: uncultured cyanobacterium
Lineage: Bacteria; Bacillati; Cyanobacteriota
Description: bacterial SSU rRNA
Rfam family: Bacterial small subunit ribosomal RNA
Source: RNAcentral
GAAAGCCUGACGGAGCAAGACCGCGUGGGGGAAGAAGGCUCUUGGGUUGUAAACCCCUUUUCUCUGGGAAGAAAGUUGUGAAAGCAACCUGACGGUACCAGAGGAAUCAGCAUCGGCUAACUCCGUGCCAGCAGCCGCGGUAAGACGGAGGAUGCAAGCGUUAUCCGGAAUGAUUGGGCGUAAAGCGUCCGCAGGUGGCAGUUCAAGUCUGCUGUCAAAGACCGGGGCUCAACCUCGGAAAGGCAGUGGAAACUGAACAGCUAGAGUAUGGUAGGGGCAGAGGGAAUUCCCGGUGUAGCGGUGAAAUGCGUAGAGAUCGGGAAGAACAUCGGUGACGAAGGCGCUCUGCUGGACCAAAACUGACACUCAGGGACGAAAGCUAG